GAGUUUGAUCCUGGCUCAGGGUUAACGCUGGCGGUGCGCAUAACACAUGCAAGUCGAGCGAGGGCUUAUUUCUCGCAAGAGAGAUGAGUUCCUAGCGGCGAACGGGUGAGUAACACGUGGGCAACCUUUCCUAUCGCGGGGGAUAACACCGGGAAACCGAUGCUAAUACCGCAUGUCGUCACCGGUCGCAUGGCUGGUGAAGAAAGCAGCAAUGCACGAUGGGGUGGGCCCGCGGCCUAUCAGCUAGUCGGUGGGGUAACGGCCUACCGAGGCGAUGACGGGUAGCUGGUCUGAGAGGACGGCCAGCCACACGGGGACUGAGACACGGCCCCGACUCCUACGGGAGGCAGCAGUGAGGAAUCUUCCGCAAUGGGCGAAAGCCUGACGGAGCGACGCCGCGUGUGGGAUGAAGUCUUUCGGGAUGUAAACCACUGUCGGAGGGGAAGACAAAAAAGACGGUACCCUCCAAGAAAGCCCCGGCUAACUACGUGCCAGCAGCCGCGGUAAUACGUAGGGGGCAAGCGUUAUCCAGAUUUACUGGGCGUAAAGCGCGUGUAGGCGGCUGGUUAGGCGUGAUGUGAAAUCUUCCGGCUCAACCGGAAAAAUGCAUUGCGAACCGGCCUGGCUAGAGUGCAGGAGUGGGAAGCGGAAUUCCAGGUGUAGCGGUGAAAUGCGUAGAUAUCUGGAGGAACACCAGUGGCGAAGGCGGCUUCCUGGCCUGCAACUGACGCUGAGACGCGAAAGCGUGGGGAGCGAACCGGAUUAGAUACCCGGGUAGUCCACGCCCUAAACGUUGUGAACUAGGUGUUGGUCGGAUUGACCCGAUCAGUGCCGCAGCUAACGCAUUAAGUUCACCGCCUGGGGACUACGGCCGCAAGGUUAAAACUCAAAGGAAUAGGCGGGGGCCCGCACAAGCAGCGGAGCGUGUGGUUUAAUUCGAGGCAACGCGAAGAACCUUACCUGGGCUUGACAUGCAGAGGAAACUUUGGUGAAAGCCAGAGCCUCCCGCAAGGGACUUCUGCGCAGGUGGUGCAUGGCUGUCGUCAGCUCGUGCCGUGAGGUGUUGGGUUAAGUCCCGCAACGAGCGCAACCCUCGUCGAAUGUUGCCAUCAUUCAGUUGGGCACUCAUUCGAGACCGCCGUUGAUAAGACGGAGGAUGGUGGGGAUGACGUCAAGUCAGCAUGGCCCUUACGUCCUGGGCUACACACGUGCUACAAUGGCCGGCACAACGGGCAGCUAGACCGCAAGGUCAAGCCAAUCCCUUAAAACCGGUCUCAGUUCGGAUUGCAGGCUGCAACUCGCCUGCAUGAAGUCGGAAUCGCUAGUAACUGCAGAUCAGCUACGCUGCGGUGAAUACGUUCCCGGGCCUUGCACACAC
RNAcentral lists this ribosomal RNA (1378 nucleotides) under uncultured bacterium. Its description in RNAcentral is "bacterial SSU rRNA". It matches the Rfam family "Bacterial small subunit ribosomal RNA". The record is from RNAcentral.